GUCAAAUAUGGACAACCUUUUAGACAAUGCAGCUAUAGUUUUUCUUUCUGACUAUGAAAAUUAUUUUGCGGCUUUGUUAUGUCCACUCGACAAAGAUCAUCAGGUGAUUCGUGGAUUUUUUCCAAGUCCAAAUCCAACUUUGUGACAGGUUGCAGCCUUCAUUAACGUCUUGCAUGAUGUCGCAAUAUCUGCAAAAUUUUCUCCUUCAACAUGUCCAGAAACUGACUGAAGUCAUUAUUUGAGCUAACCAACUAUUAUUUAUCAAUGUUAGUUACAUAUCUAUAUAUAUAUAUAUACUAAUUUCAUCAACAGUCCUCGAUGUUUGCUAUUAUUCAGAAUAUUGUAUUUUAAAAAAUAACGCUGAUUACGUUGUUUUAUAAUUAUCUAAAUAUAUUUUAUCACACCAGUAUAUGAAUGAAAAUAAUGACUA
This is a non-coding RNA of Styela clava, 430 nucleotides long. NCBI's taxonomy places the organism in Eukaryota, Metazoa, Chordata, Ascidiacea, Stolidobranchia, Styelidae. The record is from RefSeq and is a predicted model, not a curated record.